GACAGAGGGGGCAAGCGUUGCUCGGAAUCACUGGGCGUAAAGCGUACGCAGGCGGCUUUGCAAGACAGGUGUGAAAUCCCCGGGCCUAACCUGGGAACUGCAUUUGUGACUGCAUGGCUAGAGUUUGUCAGAGGGGGGCGGAAUUCCACGUGUAGCAGUGAAAUGCGUAGAUAUGUGGAGGAACACCGAUGGCGAAGGCAGCCCCCUGGGAUGUGACUGACGCUCAUGUACGAAAGCGUGGGGAGCAAACAGG
Molecule: ribosomal RNA, 253 nt
Filed under: uncultured bacterium
Lineage: Bacteria
Description: partial 16S ribosomal RNA
Rfam family: Bacterial small subunit ribosomal RNA
Source: RNAcentral